This 166-nucleotide ribosomal RNA is filed under the name Aeromonas salmonicida. RNAcentral describes it as "partial 16S ribosomal RNA". It matches the Rfam family "Bacterial small subunit ribosomal RNA", at positions 1374 to 1533 of the family's 1533-position model. The record is from RNAcentral. Lineage: Bacteria; Pseudomonadati; Pseudomonadota; Gammaproteobacteria; Aeromonadales; Aeromonadaceae.
CCGGGCCUUGUACACACCGCCCGUCACACCAUGGGAGUGGGUUGCACCAGAAGUAGAUAGCUUAACCUUCGGGAGGGCGUUUACCACGGUGUGAUUCAUGACUGGGGUGAAGUCGUAACAAGGUAACCCUAGGGGAACCUGGGGUUGGAUCACCUCCUUACCUUAA